Molecule: ribosomal RNA, 904 nt
Filed under: Aureobasidium namibiae
Lineage: Eukaryota; Fungi; Ascomycota; Dothideomycetes; Dothideales; Saccotheciaceae
Description: partial large subunit ribosomal RNA
Rfam family: Eukaryotic large subunit ribosomal RNA
Source: RNAcentral
AUAUCAAUAAGCGGAGGAAAAGAAACCAACAGGGAUUGCCCUAGUAACGGCGAGUGAAGCGGCAACAGCUCAAAUUUGAAAGCUAGCCUUCGGGUUCGCAUUGUAAUUUGUAGAGGAUGCUUUGGGUAAAACGCCAGUCUAAGUUCCUUGGAACAGGACGUCAUAGAGGGUGAGAAUCCCGUAUGUGACUGGAAAUGUUAACCUAUGUAAAGCUCCUUCGACGAGUCGAGUUGUUUGGGAAUGCAGCUCUAAAUGGGAGGUAAAUUUCUUCUAAAGCUAAAUAUUGGCGAGAGACCGAUAGCGCACAAGUAGAGUGAUCGAAAGAUGAAAAGCACUUUGGAAAGAGAGUUAAAAAGCACGUGAAAUUGUUGAAAGGGAAGCGCUUGCAAUCAGACUUGUUUAAACUGUUCGGCCGGUCUUCUGACCGGUUUACUCAGUUUGGACAGGCCAGCAUCAGUUUCGGCGGCCGGAUAAAGGCUCUGGGAAUGUGGCCUCCACUUCGGUGGAGGUGUUAUAGCCCAGUGUGUAAUACGGCCAGCCGGGACUGAGGUCCGCGCUUCGGCUAGGAUGCUGGCGUAAUGGUUGUAAGCGACCCGUCUUGAAACACGGACCAAGGAGUCUAACAUCUAUGCGAGUGUUCGGGUGUCAAACCCCUGCGCGUAAUGAAAGUGAACGGAGGUGGGAACCGCAAGGUGCACCAUCGACCGAUCCUGAUGUCUUCGGAUGGAUUUGAGUAAGAGCAUAGCUGUUGGGACCCGAAAGAUGGUGAACUAUGCCUGAAUAGGGUGAAGCCAGAGGAAACUCUGGUGGAGGCUCGCAGCGGUUCUGACGUGCAAAUCGAUCGUCAAAUUUGGGUAUAGGGGCGAAAGACUAAUCGAACCAUCUAGUAGCUGGUUCCUGCCGA